This is a long non-coding RNA of Rosa rugosa (rugosa rose), 728 nucleotides long. RefSeq lists it as uncharacterized. The record is from RefSeq and is a predicted model, not a curated record. Lineage: Eukaryota; Viridiplantae; Streptophyta; Magnoliopsida; Rosales; Rosaceae. The transcript has 3 exons.
UCUCCAACACACUCUUUUCAUGACCUCCAUAGAAUAAUAUGAAUCAAGCACAAUCCCAACUCCAUACCCAGAUCUUCAAUCCCAGAAUGAAAUAUCAAUUUGUAAAUUGUAAUGGGUACCCUUUCAAAUGGACAAUCCCUUUUCAUAUGAGAAGCGUUGACAGAUUGACAGCAAUGAAUGUUGUUGCUGCUGCUGCCUGAAAAGGUCUUUGAUGUUCUUCUGCCGGUCUGGUGAUCUCGGGCACUGCAGUCUGCGGUUUAUCGGGGAAGCAACAGAAAAAGGACAGACAAGCCAGUUGGAUAUGGAAGUCUGAAGUAAUGGCUUCCAUACGAUACAGCAAUUUUAUGACAUACAACCCCAAAGCUCUUUACUACAGGCACCCUGGAGAUUCAACGUGUCUGCGGUCUGCCUCAUUCACCCUUAAUUGGUGUAGGAGCGCACUUCAAAGUAGAAGAUCCUGUAUAUGAAGCCCAGAUGAACUUAAUAACUUGUGCUGCGAUUGCCGUAGUAAUCAAUUGGGCUGUAGCCUGGUUAUCAGGAGUGGUGUUUGCAGGAAUUGCUCUAAGGGGAAUAAGCAGGACAAGUCGCAAGAUCAAAUAGCAGGAUCAAAUCAACAAAAUUUUACAUUUAGAUCUCAUCUGCUAUGACUAAUCUUACAAUUAAAUGCUGUCCCUCAUGUGGAAACUAUACUUGAAAGAAACACAAUCUCUACUCGACUCCUUGACAUA